AUGACCUACCCUUUACUAUAAUGUUGCUUUUCAACUGCCAGACCAAUCUUUUUAUGAAGCCCAUUGGGAUUUUAACAGGGGAUGUAGUGAGGCACUCAGAGGCAAAGCUUUAUUCAGGCACAUUUAUGAAAAAUAGAAACUAGAAGGGUUUUUUGCUGCUCUGUUUGUACUGAGAGGGAUAGGGAAAGUUGCUGCUGAGUUGUACCAAGAGUAUAUCUUCAGAAUGAGGAUGCACAGAUUUAGAAAAAAAACUUUUCAGACCAUUCUAAAGAAACCAAAUCUGGGGCUUAGCGACAUACCUUGAUUUACCUUUUUACAUCCAACGGUUACCACCCUUGUCUGUGUUACUAUGGUUACCAGUCUUAGCUGUGUUACUACGGCUACUCCCCUUACCUGUGGUCUCCAACCAACUCCGUCUUGUUGUUGUUGCUGUGGCAGUACGAACAGGCAAUGUUUGAUGCCAUAUCCUGUAUAGCCAUAUCCUUUACAGAUUUGUGUGUAGCGAGAUCAAGUGUCAGUUGAAAUGUUUAAUUCUCCUUCAGUGCUUUGUCUAUCUGUGGACAGAGAAGAGAGAGUGUCAUCUGUAGGGGGAGAUGUAACAGAUUUUGAAACAGCUGUUUGAAAUGUACUAAAGAUAUAGCGAUGCUUCCAUAGAUUCGUUCUUCUUUUCAUAUCUGUUUUAUCCACUUCUCUCCUCUGUCACUUAGUUAGUUCCCUAUUAGAAUAUUGUUCACUGUGACCCAGUGGUACAUCAAUGGCCUUUUCCAGACACUUUGAGUUGCCAGCUCUGAAGUAAAUAGAUGUCCUUCUCUGGAUCUGAUGUCCUUCUUGCAGUGCAAUCAUUCUCAGAAGAAAGUUCGAAUUUUCGAGCAGUGAGAAUGUAUGUGGCGUAGCCAUCUAUAAAGCAGCAUAGAUGCAUACUGUAGAAGUAACAUAGAGGACAGAUAGAGGAUACAUAGAGCAGCUGCAGCAAGACAUGCUCAGUCACUCCUGGCAUGAUGUGCUGUAGGACUAAAAGACGGUCGGCCAUGGAAGGUUUGUAGAGAAUAAAAACAGAUCUGAUUUGAUAGGCUUAAUUAGGGAGGUGGAGGAUGGUAUAACAAUGGACCAAUGGAGAGACUCGACAGAUCCUCUCCCGGACCCUCCACAGUUUCUAGACUGACUGCCAUGAAUGAAAAUGAUCAGAGAAAGUAAAGAUGGCGAGCCAGAGCAGCAGGGAGAAUAGUGAUUUUGUCUUCUUAGGAGUGAGUGCUGAAAGUCCCAUGUUUGUCAGUGUAUCAUUGCGCUUUGUGGGACCGCUUCAACACUGUUUGUAGUGUAUGGAUGUUGGACCCAGGCUUGCAUCAUCAUGUCAUAUGCUAGCAGGCUAUUAUUUUAUUGGUCACCUGCUGUAUGUUUGAUAAAUGAAAAAUCUGCCUGGGGAUAAGCUCAAAGUGGUGUGAACCGUCCAACCGUAGUUUCUCACAGAUUGUCUCCGUCUCUUCAGAAUCUGUUAGACUUCUAUCAGAUAGGCCUUGUAUGAUCAACUCGUAUCAACUCAUGGUAAGUUGAUUCAUGAUUCACAGUAGAAUCGUGCCUUUAGGAACUCGUGAGGGGAUUUUAAAGGCAGUUUGAAGCUACUACGACUCAGAUGAAACAAGAUGAGAGAGCGAGCGCUAGGCCAGGCCAGGCCAGCGUAGGCCGAACCAACAAUACGAGUCAGAUCUCUGUGAGUGACAGGCAGGUUAGACAAGAUGAGACAUAAUAUUAACACUUCCUCUUUAAGGUCUCUGCUGUUUUUUUUUUACACAGGCUUGAUGGUCGGUCCUCUAUACAAACAAACAAACAAACGGAUGCCUGGUCGGACAACAACCUGGUAUCUACGGACACACCAUUAAAGCCAUUGUGGUGUGUUGAUUGAACACUGCCUGUACCCGUACCUGAUAUCCCCAUGUCCUGUCUAUUAUAAUACUAUCUAGAGGACUGUUUACAAUAUGAAGACAUGUCUCCAGAUAACGUCCGUCUGUUUGGCUGCUGCACACUUAAAACCAAAUACAUUCCCGAUUGAUCGUUCACUGACGAUACAACCAUAAGAGCAAACAAUGCCAUCCAAUUUUAACCCGUGUUCAUUUUGGAUGUGAUGUUUUAGAUGAGUGAUGCAUUGAUCAUUGAACUUACUUGGAGAGAAAAAAAAUGAACAAAAAUAAGAAAUAUAUGUACAGUGCAGACUAUGGUGGCACAAUCACUGAAAAGGAAGGAACUUUUUGAGAGAAACUAUAAAUAAUGUACUAUAUUCUUUUAUUUUAUCGGCAUGCUUUGUUGUGUUUUUUGUAAAUACGGAAUUUUAAAAAGUUACCACUAAUAAUGUAAAAUGAAACAAUAACAGUAUAGAAUGGCUUCCAGCUAUGCCCUUUGUCACAUUUGUUACCUUUUGGAUUUUUUGAGACACUUUUCACUUUGUUGACGGAAAUUGAAUGAAAUAUAGAUAUUAUAUAAUACAAAAAUAUAUAUACAUGUAUACAUAUAUAUGUCUAUAUGUAUAUACAUAUUACAAAAGAACACUGUUUGUUUGUCACAUUUGAUUUAUGUGCAACAUGUUCAGUGGAUGUGUAAAACUGGUUGGUUUCCAGCACCCUACUGUAUGUGUUGGGAAAUAGCUCAUACAAUGUCACUGGAGCUGCUGCCAUGGAUUGUAGCCUGAUAUGAUUAGAGGUUUAUGCUACCAGCACAUUUCUCACAUUCUACUGCAAACUUUUCAUACUUUUUAACCUUCACUUAACACACACAAACACAUACACAGAAUAGACACACACACACACACACACACACACACACACACACACACACACACACACACACACACACACACACACACACACACACACACACACAUUCAAAUUGACACACAACUAUUCACUCACCAACCUAACUAAUCAGUAAUUUGUCCCAACAAGAUGAAGUAGGUUGGAUGUGACUGCCUCUUCCAGUGAAGAUGGAGUAUGUCUAUCCCAACCAAGGCAUAGUAGAUCUAUCUAUAGAUACGUCCAACGCUCUAGUAUCUAUCUAUCUAUACAUAAGGUCUAGCAGGCCAAUCUAUCUAUCAUUACAUGUCAAUGUAAAUGUAUCUAUCCACACCUACAGCCACAAAGCCUAUUAGGAGUAACUACCCACACAUAAAUACAGUCACACAACAUUAGUACUGUUACAGUUCAACACUUCAGUGUCUGAUCAUUUGUGCUUCAAUCGUCUCUCACUUUUACUUUGAAUGGUUUGUUUCUAAUCUAGUGUUUAACUCCACUCAUUGGCAUGUGCCUUUUUCUGCUUUUUUCUGUGAUUUUUGGGAAGAUGAUGAUACCACACAUGUUCAAAACUGUGUAAGGAGGGAACAGGUGAGGGUGGGGUGGUCGUUGAGUUAAACAUAUGGAGCACAACGUAUAUAUCGGGGACUCGGGGCUACAGCGCGACAUCGUCUGUCCGUACCACACGACGCGAGUCAGAAAUGAUACUGCCGAGGAUCAGAUCAUCCUAACCACUAUUACAAAAGAGAAAACAAAACUAACACCCCACUUCUUCUCUUCUCGAUAGACUUCAACAAUGUGAUGUUGCCUAACAAAACAGCUCAAAGUCAAAAUGUUAUGUUUCUUGUGCUUAUGUGUGUCACCCACUUCUAUCGCUUGUGAAAAAGCAGCUUGCCUUCUAUAUUUCUGUUCUUUCCAUCUGAAAUUUAUUUUUGUAUCAAUAUUGAAUUAAUUAAAUUACGGGACUCUGUUUUCUUUUUUUCUUUCUUUUUUUUGGCAUGGAUUUAUUACAGGCUUUUUUCUUUUUUUGCUGAAAAAUAAUUAAAAAGUGCUUUUCAAACUGUUGUUUAUCAUUUGAACACCGUGAUAUAAAACAGGAUAUAUACAGUAUGAUGGUAGUGAUGCACAACCACUUGGACUCUUAGUAAGAACUUAUGAAAGAUUGUCUUCAUUUGAGCACGAACCUUUUUAUUACCAAUAAAGCAGCCUUCCAG
Molecule: long non-coding RNA, 3991 nt
Filed under: Salmo salar (Atlantic salmon)
Lineage: Eukaryota; Metazoa; Chordata; Actinopteri; Salmoniformes; Salmonidae
Description: lncRNA (ENSSSAG00000084288.1)
Source: RNAcentral